GCUAGAGAGAGUGACAGUGAAUGGCAGCCGCGCGAGAGUCACAGCUGGGCAGCUUGGCCACCCCAGACUGACGGGGUCAGGAGGGGGACCCCCCCCCCACCGCACUUGACACAAAAGAGCCCAGAACCCCGGAGAGAUGAAGGGGGUGGAGCUGGGGGCAUCUGGUUCCCCAGACACUCUCCUCUCCGCUCCCCAAUCCUAAGGGACUGCUGUCCCCUGAAGAGGCUGGGGGAGCGAGGAGACGAGCUCCAGUCUUAUUCCAGGAAGUGGUCUGCGUGGACUGUGGCCACCACCUGCCCCUACUCAUCAGCAGCCCACAAACAUUCACACGACCCCUCCCUCUCGUGCCACCUAACGCCCCUCAGUUGGCGGGCACCUAAGUCCCCACGGGUGGAGGGGGGGUCCAAUGGACACCUUUCCCCCUCUGCCUGCCCAAGUCCUGAGCGGAGGGGGGCAGGCCCGCCGGCUGCUCCGUGCGGGGAAACCCCGCUCUCCCUCGGUCCAACCCCACCGGGGCCCGAGCCCGAGGGGCGCUCGCGCGGCCGCCCCUCCCCCACGCACCCCUCCCCCACGCCGCCCUCCGGCCGCCAGGGUCUCCGCGGUCUCUCGCUCGGCCAGGGAGGGGGCCCUGGCUUCGCCUCGGCCGUUUCCUGCCUACCCCCUCCCCGCCGAGGGUAAAAAAAAAACCCUCCUCCUCCUCCUCCCCCGAAAGCCGCGACCGAGUGGCCCGGUCCGCGCGCGCAGCUCGCGCCCGGCGCUCUCCAGCCGGGGUGGCGGCGGCGGCGGCGGCGGCGGUGGCGGCGGUGGUGGUGGCGGCGGGGGAGGGGUGCAGCGGGAGAGGGGAGGAGGCCUGGCCCCGCGGUCGCGGCCGCCACCGACCGCCCGUACCGCCGCAGGGCCACGGGCCCGAGCCCCGGAUUCCCGCCCCGGAUUCGCCUCGGCUCGGCCGCGCGUAUAUUCGCCUUCCUCCAUGAUCUCCAACAUUAUCCGAUAAAGUAGAAGCAACCGAGGUACCGUGAAAAAGAAAGGAACCGGGACUGAGAAAAAGCAGAGCAAAACCAUGUGCUCUUACUGAUCCAUCAUCAAGUGGCUGUUCUCCCAACAGCAGGACAUCCAUGUGGACUCCCUAAACUUAGCUGUGGGGCUGGAUGCAUUAACUUUACCCUGAUGUAUGAUUGGAUGUUAUAGUAUCAAUACCAAAUGAUAGAUCCCCUUACUCAGCUCCAAAGUACAUACAGCCAGAUCAACAUUUGGCACAGUAGUAAAACGCUUGAGACUAGCCAUAAAUUUAGCCCCAAAGGUUAAAGCUUUAGGAAUUUCUGUCAUGGGUUGCCAUGGUUCUGCCACAGGUUGAGGCAGACCAUUGAGACAGGUGCCAGAAUAUUGGGACCACAUUGUAUUGUCACUUUUGAUAUUUUACUUUUGAGGCUCUUUAAAUGAUUGUUGUGUAUGUGUGUGUGUGUGUAUGCUAUUUCAGGAGUAGGAGUGGGGGGUUGGGAUAUUUGGAGAAGCUGAUGGAAAUUAAAGCACUCUUUUCCCAAAAUAAUACACAUCAACACACACACACAGACACACACACACACACAGAGUAUUCAGAAACAGUUUAGGAUGGCCAGGUUAAUAAUCCACCUUUGACUUGCCAUGAGGGUAGCAACUUUUUCUAUACCAUAAUUUAGUUCUUUAUCAUGUACUAUUCUCAUUUAUCUUUUCGUGUGUGCGUGCUUUAUCCCAGUGAGCAGGCAAGCUUCCUACAAGGAACAUAUGCCUCUUUAUGACCUCCAGUGAUGUGUGCAUGUAGGGACCUCACCUGGGGAAAUCUUGCCAGUUGAGUCCUUUGAAGCUGCUGUGUUUCACCGAGGACAGGCAGCCUUCCCUUCAGCAUUCCAUCCUCCACCCACCACCCUCCAACACAAAACAGAUUACCACAAGAGGACUUGGACCCUGCGUUCAUGUUCUGUUUGCUUUCUAGGUUUUAGGCUAAAGCAUUAUUUACAUACUCCUCAUGCAAAUAUCCACUUGGCUAUUUAGAGAACAAAGCAGUGCCAACUGGAAAGUUUUGGGUUUUUUUUUUUAAGUCUUAAUAAAUGAAUGCAUUCUAUUAUUUAAAUAUUUAUGAUGUCUUUAUUCCUUUAUCACCUCCAUACUUCACCCCAUGAACUUUCAUACCUGUAAUCAGGACCCCCUUUUUGUUCUAUCCCAUGAAUUCUCUAACUGCACUCCUUUCCUGGUAUGUGCUUGUGCCAAAAAAAGCAGGCAUAAGCCUGAUGCUAAUAGAA
This is an RNA transcript of Cebus imitator (Panamanian white-faced capuchin), 2276 nucleotides long. It is a transcript of the gene named N-alpha-acetyltransferase 38, NatC auxiliary subunit, with no coding region annotated. The record is from RefSeq and is a predicted model, not a curated record. NCBI's taxonomy places the organism in Eukaryota, Metazoa, Chordata, Mammalia, Primates, Cebidae. The transcript has 3 exons.